This 284-nucleotide long non-coding RNA is filed under the name Glycine max (soybean). RNAcentral's name for it is "long non-coding RNA (GMAX_LNC004523)". The record is from RNAcentral. Lineage: Eukaryota; Viridiplantae; Streptophyta; Magnoliopsida; Fabales; Fabaceae.
GAUUGUAAAUAAGUGAAUGUGUUUAACACUUGAUGUUACAUUAAUUAUAUCGUGAGCUAUGAAUUAUACAAUAACCUGACCAGUGUUAUCUUGAGAAAAGUGUAAAUGCGCAGUGUUAAAGAGAAAGUGUAGGUUUCCUAUUUAGGAACCAGCGUUAAAGAGAAAUUGUAGGUUCCUAUUUAGGAACCAGUGUUAAAGAGAAAGUGUAGGUUCCUAUUUAGGAACCAGUGUUAAAUUAUAGCGCAAUAUGUUGUACGUGUUUAAGACACGUGUGUGAGGUCGAG